Long non-coding RNA from Pseudomyrmex gracilis, 396 nucleotides. RefSeq lists it as uncharacterized. The record is from RefSeq and is a predicted model, not a curated record. NCBI's taxonomy places the organism in Eukaryota, Metazoa, Arthropoda, Insecta, Hymenoptera, Formicidae. The transcript is spliced from 4 exons.
UUUUAUCUGGCAAUGUUGCAAAUUUGCUAGCAAAAAUAUAUCCAAGUUUGUUGACAAAACAUUGCAGCAAAUUGCUGGCAAAACCUGAGCAAAGCUUGUACAUAAUUUGAGACCAAAUUAACGCCAAGUAUAAAGCAAGAUCUGCGCAACACGACUUGAUAGCAAAAUAACAACAAAAACUGAGCAAGACUUGCAGUUCAGUCAAACUAUAUGCAAACUAACUAUUAGAGAACCUAUACAAGCGAUGCUAGAUGUACGCGCAUUUUAUAUAGUUCCCGCUUGGUAAUCAGAGGGUUCCAGGUUCCCGGUUCGAAUCCAGUCGAGAUGAUUUCUAACACAAUGGAUUUUUUCUACAAGGUUUUGCAGUAAGGGUUAAGUACAAGUCUUCCGUAUCGA